Molecule: ribosomal RNA, 1066 nt
Filed under: Salmonella enterica
Lineage: Bacteria; Pseudomonadati; Pseudomonadota; Gammaproteobacteria; Enterobacterales; Enterobacteriaceae
Also listed under: 3 other names
Description: partial 23S ribosomal RNA
Rfam family: Bacterial large subunit ribosomal RNA
Source: RNAcentral
AUAGGGGAGCCGGAGGGAAACCGAGUCUUAAUUGGGCGUUAAGUUGCAGGGUAUAGACCCGAAACCCGGUGAUCUAGCCAUGGGCAGGUUGAAGGUUGGGUAACACUAACUGGAGGACCGAACCGACUAAUGUUGAAAAAUUAGCGGAUGACCUGUGGCUGGGGGUGAAAGGCCAAUCAAACCGGGAGAUAGCUGGUUCUCCCCGAAAGCUAUUUAGGUAGCGCCUCGUGAAUUCAUCUCCGGGGGUAGAGCACUGUUUCGGCUAGGGGGCCAUCCCGGCUUACCAACCCGAUGCAAACUGCGAAUACCGGAGAAUGUUAUCACGGGAGACACACGGCGGGUGCUAACGUCCGUCGUGAAGAGGGAAACAACCCAGACCGCCAGCUAAGGUCCCAAAGUCAUGGUUAAGUGGGAAACGAUGUGGGAAGGCCCAGACAGCCAGGAUGUUGGCUUAGAAGCAGCCAUCAUUUAAAGAAAGCGUAAUAGCUCACUGGUCGAGUCGGCCUGCGCGGAAGAUGUAACGGGGCUAAACCAUGCACCGAAGCUGCGGCAGCGAACGUAUCACCCAAGACAACUUUACGGAGUUGACGAUUGACGGAGCGAAGCGACGUCAAAGCGUUCAUUAAAGUCGAGUUGGCUUAGGGAUACGUUCGUUGGGUAGGGGAGCGUUCUGUAAGCCUGUGAAGGUGUGUCGUGAGGCAUGCUGGAGGUAUCAGAAGUGCGAAUGCUGACAUAAGUAACGAUAAAGCGGGUGAAAAGCCCGCUCGCCGGAAGACCAAGGGUUCCUGUCCAACGUUAAUCGGGGCAGGGUGAGUCGACCCCUAAGGCGAGGCCGAAAGGCGUAGUCGAUGGGAAACGGGUUAAUAUUCCCGUACUUGGUGUUACUGCGAAGGGGGGACGGAGAAGGCUAUGUUGGCCGGGCGACGGUUGUCCCGGUUUAAGCGUGUAGGUGUGUGUUCCAGGUAAAUCCGGUUCACUUUAACACUGAGGCGUGACGACGAGGCACUACGGUGCUGAAGCAACAAAUGCCCUGCUUCCAGGAAAAGCCUCUAAGCAUCAGGUAACA